UACUUUGCUGAAUUCACAGAUUUUCUAUCUGGUAAACCCUCACUGGUCAUAGCUUUCUGAUUAAGUUUUAGGUCUUCUUUAUGUUUCAAACACUAUAUCCAUGAGCUAUGUUUAAUCAAUUACCUUUUCAUUGAAGCCCAGGUUAGUGUUUGACAUGUGAUGUCAAAAGACAUGGGUCCUCAGAUUGUUCUAUCCUUCAUUAAAUUGAUAGAAAAUCUCCUGGCCACAUGUCCAAGGACAUGGAGGGCAGAGCUAGGGUUGAGGCUCUGAUGUUGCUGAUUUCCACAUGGGGAGGAACCAAGUGACUGAGGGCAAGGGCAUCCAAUGUGGCGGGGGGCGCAACAGGGAAGGUGGGGUGCUAAAGUCCUGGAAUGGGUGUUGGAGAACAAAUGAAGGUGCCUUUCACCAAGAAUUAUUAAAUGAGAACUUUUCAAGAGGUGUCCUUGCUGUUGAGACAGGACUCGCCAGAAGACCAUGGUAAGGGUUAUCUGGGAAUUAGUGUUAAUCCUAGGAACUGAAUAUUAAUAAAAUAAUAACUGAACAGUAAGUCGAAUCAAAGUAUAACACCCCAUAAUUUGCAUUGUUUUCUGCAAAAUGGGGAUAUUACAUCCUCUACACAAGCCGAGUAGGCAAUGCAGCCUUGUUCUUGACCAUGGGAAGGAAAAGCGUUCCUUCUGUCUGAGCAUGUCUGUGGGUAAGGUGGGAGGAGUCACUCCCAGCUGAGUGGUUGGGGAUUGAUGCCUGAUGUAUCUAACAAUACUUUGAAAGGCUGGGUUCUCAUGGCUGCUUUCUCUUUCCUCAGAUUUAUCUGCUUGACUUUCAGAUUGUCCCUGCAUAAGGAUGCAGAGGAGGUCAGGUAGUGCCAGAGUUCCUGAUAAUGAAACAACAGAGUCUCUGAUUGGUUGAAGAUGAUGAAGAAGGGUUUUGGGAUGCAGAAUUUUCUAAAUCCACCUGGAAGCCUGGGAACCUCUCCCUCCAGCCACAAGGCCCUGCCCCACACCCUGCAGAAACCAAUCUGGAAAACCAGACUCCAACCUCUGCAGCAAUAGACCUGAAGGGUCAGGAUUUGGUGAAUGACUCACAGCUUCGUCAUUUUCAGUCCUUUCCAUGUAGAACCAAAUGCGGGGAAAGCCAAAUAUAUUCCCUUAAGUAAUCACUUAGGACGACCCUCUUCCUAUCAACUUGUCUCCAGCCUCCUCACAUCACAAGCUCUGGGGAGCACAUGCCUUCCUUUUUUUGCCAUCAGAAAGUGUCCCCACUCUUAUGUGUGCCCUGAGUCUCAGCCUGAUGUGAGUGGUGGUGGCUGACUCCCGUGCUCUAUAGACAAGUUCUCAGUAAAUAGUGCUUGUUCUCA
Orcinus orca (killer whale) is the source of this 1354-nucleotide long non-coding RNA. RefSeq lists it as uncharacterized. NCBI's taxonomy places the organism in Eukaryota, Metazoa, Chordata, Mammalia, Artiodactyla, Delphinidae. The record is from RefSeq and is a predicted model, not a curated record. The transcript has 2 exons.